CUUACAGCAAAACUCCCCACUGGGACAUGUCCAGCGUUUCAAAAUUCCCAGGCCACAGAAAACGGAAGUUGUGGAAUCAAGAACAAGUUUGCGGUCAGGUAUUUGUGCUCAUUUGCUGACCAGUUGUUUUGCAAGGCUUCAUUCCUAAUUCCGGUAAGCUUUACUGGGCUGGUUUUCAUUUUCCCUCUUCCUCAACUGUAAUAUUUGCAAAGGCUCUGCUGUAUGCCUUAUCUUAUUGUGCAUUUUGUCUUUUAGCCCCACCUUCUUAUUACAUUCCUAGAGGGGAAAACUACGUACACACACAAAACACAAUUUCCUAGUUGCACCGAUGCUCAGAUCAGUUUGUAUAUUUCUGGAUUGACACUACUAAAAUGUUUCUGCUGCUGGGAAAGUCAGGCCCAAGCAAUCAAAACAAAGAAUGAAGGGAAUAUUUGUUGCUUCAAAUCUUUGGUUUAUAGUGCAUCCACAAAUCUGAUGGUCCCUGAAGUGUUCUGACAAUGGCCGUUUUCAAAAAGCAAAGAUUAAAAAAUUAUGAUGUGUGUUGGUGGGGAAGAAAGCAACAGAUUAAACAAUAGCUGGUGCCGGACAGUGACUAAGUGACCGAGGGCACCUGCAAAUGGGCUUUUUAAAAUGUGAAUUUAGGAUGAUUUGUUCUCUUAACUAUUGGGGUGUCAUAUGCACUCCUGCAUUCAAGAUAAUUUACAACCUCAAAACCUGUGAGCUGGUCUCAUGGCAUCAGUGCUUUUUUCUGGGGGGACGCAUACCCCUAAAAAUUUUGUGAAUGUAAGUUUGGCCUCAUUGAGGGGUAGUAUUUCAAUACGAGUAGGAAAAUGAGAGUACCCAUAAACAUUUUUUUUAGAAAACAAGCACUGCAUGGCAUCAUUAGUAAUUGGUGUGUGGCCCAUUGCUUCCUGCUGAAAUCCCAAAAGAGAUUCUUGUGGACUUUAGGAAAUGUAAAUUGAAUAUUCAGCCACUCCUUAUUGAGGGGAAGUGUGUGGAACAGGUCUCGGUGUUUCGAUUUCUGGGAAUGGAAUUGAGAGAUAACCUAACCUGGGAGAAAACAGCAAAGACCUGAUGAAGAGAGCACAGCAGAGGUUAUAUAUUCUGAGAAUCCUCUGGAAAAAUAAUCUCUCAAAGGACCUGUUGAUGGCAUUUUACCAUUGUACUUUUGAGAGUGUAUUAAUGUGUGGUCUCUAUGUGUGGUUUGGGAGCUGCAUGGUCAGGGAAAAAACAAUGCUGUCCAUGGUUGUAAAGACUGCGGAGAGAAUAAUUAGGUGCACUCUUCCCACCUUGGAUCAAAUCUAUGCUUCCAGGUGCCAUAAGAAAGCUGCAGAGAUAGUGCAGGAUAGUGCGCACCCCGGAAAUGAUCUCUUUCAGCUUCUGCCUUCUGGAAGACGGUACAGUGUUAUAAAGACUAGGACUAGCCGCCUGAGAAACAGUUUCUAUCCAAAUGUGAUUUUGGUUUUAAACACAAUGUAAGGUAGUCUCCAUGGAAGUAUAUUGUAUUUGAUUAUGGAGUAUCAGAGUUUUUAGGGGCUAACCAGGCUGGAAUAGUUGGGAUAGCAGGCUUGUCAGUUUUUGAAUGUCUGAUGUAGAUUUUUUCAAUUUCGUUGUUCUGUAUGGGACAAUGACAAGAAAGAUUAUCGUAUCGUAUUGCUGUUUUCGUUUUGCCAACCAACUCUUGCUCCUCAAUCUUUAACACAAAGGGGGAGAAGCUGAGGGCCAUAUUCUCUUCUGCGCAACCUCCCUUGGGCCGCAUGGAAGGGGUGGGCAGGCUCAGUAGCAAAAGCAUCCAGACAAAUGUAAAUGUUACCUUCGUGCAGUAGGCAAGUUUUCUAUGCACACUCACACACUUCUAUCCCGUGCUGUUUUAUCUAUUUUUUUUAAAAAGAGGUGAAGGAACUGACCACCUCCCUCAACCUCUUACAAUAGCAGUGGUGCCCACCUCUGAGGUACUGGAACUGAGUUCCGGUAAGUUCCGGCUGAAAAAAAGUCCUUCCUCUAUUGUUCAUCUGGACAAACAAGAGUUCUUGUCAGUCCAGAUGAGGCAAAAAUGUUUGGAGUUUGAAGAAGGACUGUGGCCUGGAGAGAGUUCUCAGAGCUAGACAGUGGGUUGCUUUCAGCUCCCUGGGCUUUACAAGCGUGCAUUAGGUGAUGAUGCUUCUCCCUACGCCAUAGAAAGCUACAUACGUUGGCAUCUAUGGAUUAAACUGCUGUUACUCCAGCCACAAGAGCAAGAUGGUUGGGGAAUUUUCUUUCAGUUGGUAACCUUGCACAUCAGUAUACCGAGGGCGUGGGAGAGAGAGGAAGCUGUUUGUACUCUGCUCUGCUUCUGAAUUUUCAGCAUCCAGUCAUAAUCGGAAACAAUUAUGUAUCUUUAUUUCUGUUCAGUGCCAGGAAAGAUAUCUACUGCGCAGAAUAUUCCACACAGGCUAGCCUGCUGCUGAAUCUUCUAGCCAUAAAACACCUGGAACCAAUUGGACAUUCUGCAUUGUCAAUCUGGAUUCCAAGGCUCUCUGAGGGAGUGUCCAGUGCAGGAAAGCUGUAAAUGUUUAACAGAGCCCCUCAGGAAAUAUGGAAGGGGGGGUAGGAUUUCUAGGUUGUUUAAACAAGAGAUUCUUUGAUAACCGAAAACCAUCUCAUGCCUUCAGGAAUGAACAGAAUAGCAGGGGGAAAACAUUAUGGAAUAACUUGACUCUCCUUUUCAAAUCUUUAUUUUAAUUUCACAGCACAUUCCAACAGCUAGCAAAGUAAAAUGAUACCUGUAUGUCGCUUUGCUGAAAUGUCAUUAACUGAUUGUGUCAAAUUCUUUGUAUCCAGAAUCUUUCUGUUAACCGAAUAAAUGCUCUUAAGGGCUGAUAUAAUGGGAUAACUUCAUGUUUGCCACCCUGGUGUCCUUGGGGGAAAUGUGGGGGAAGAAAUAAUGGAAUGAAGAACUGUCAGUUAUUUGCAAGGGACUGGGAAAUGAGCAGAGAUAGCAAGGAGAGAAAAAGGUUGAGAGUCGGUUCUGUAAUCCAAAACCCACCUUAGUCCCUUGGCAGGCUGACCAUCACAUCCACAGCUCAUGCCUGCUGGGCUGAAGGGCAGGGGGAUCAGGCAAAUUGCUGUGCCAAUCUGGAGCUGGCACAACUAUCAGGUACAAUCCAGAGUCAGACCUGAUCCCAUCAAGUGGUAGCGGUGGAGCUGGCUCAGGAACCAGUGGAUCCCAGGCCAGCGCAUCCCUUUCUCACCCCCAGCCUUGCUGGUUGGUACUUUUGUACUUGUGACUUGGCUGCAGGUUAAGUUUACCUUGGUGUGCAGAUGCCAUAUCAAGUGAUCCAAUUUUUUACCUCGUCAUCCAAUUUUCUUAAUAUUUUCUACACUUGUUGAAUGAUCAAACCUAAGUUUAAAUGAAAAUUUUUUUAUUUUUUUUUGCUUUUUAUCUCAUCCCAUUUUUGAGUUAUGAGGGUUUGAAGUUUCAACGAAUUGACAAUUUCGGCCUUGUCGCACUACACAAAAACCUUAAAAGCUCAGCCCAGUAUUGACAUAUGCCAAAACUAAAAACACUGAUCUCUUCAGAACUUUAAUAUGAUAUGUCACAAGGAGGACUUACCCUAAAGUUUUAAUUAAGUUACAAAAAAAUUUAAAGUGAUAAAAAUAUGCUUUAUAUUUUCAAAAAAAAUGUAUUGAUUAUUUAAUAUUUCUAAGAUCUACCUGCAAGAUCUUGGGAUCUCAAUGGGAUCACAUUGGGGGAAAAUAUUUUGUACAUACGUGUCUGCCUUAUUGGGUUCUAUUUAGGAUAAAUGGGUCUUCUUGGAGUAAAAUAACAGAAGAAACAAAUGAUAAGAUCAGUUACUUCAGGCAUUUCUUUAGAAAGAUAUGCAAUUAAAAGGUAUCUGAAAAGCUAGUCAGGCUUUUCUUUUAAGAAACGUGUUCCAAAGCAGAACGAUAGCUUGCUGUUGCAAAGGCAGAAUUAAUGCUUUGAAAGAAUUAUUGUUAGUUUCAUGAUCAUUACAUGAACAUUAUUUGGAGAAUCUGCUUCAGGGUUGGGUGAUUUGCUACCUGGUCUAGGAGUUCCAGCUUACUUCCAAAAUGCUCUUCUUCUCUAUUUGCAAGCAAAACAAAUAUUACUGCUCUCGGAUCCAUAAUAAACUAUAAUGUUAUUUUUUUAGCUGUUGGUUUAUUAAGACUCUCCUCCUCCAAAGAGGGGAGGGGUUGUGGGCGGGAUCCGAUCCCAGCCUCAAGCAGGGGGCGUUAGCCCCCUGCCGCCCACUCACCUGGCUGGCGCACCACGCCCACGGGCAGGCGGCCAACCAGGCGGCUGGAAGGGGGCGUGGACAGCAACUUAACUUGUUGCUGCGCCAGCCACGCGGCCUCACUUUUAGGAAUUUUUCCAUUUGGCAUUAGGCUUUGUGGUUUUUUCGCCUACCUCGUAGCAACCGUCACAACUUUCUUGGUAUUGGCGGUUAGGUUAGGCAUUGGAAUAUGUUGCGGUGUGUGGAAGGGCUAGGUGUGGCAAUCGCCUACGCCUUCAAUUUUUGGGUAUUCUGUUAAAGGAAUCCGGUGGUCGUGGAUCAUGUCCAAUGCCUGUGUGGCAGGGGGCCAUGGCACGACCCUCAGUGACAUCAGGGGAGAGCUUAUAGUUGGAUUAGCAUCAACGGGCUCCACCUACUGGUGAAUAAACCCCCCUUUUAGACUCAUCCCUCUCCGAGUGGGUGGAGUCAAGUCACGUGAUCCAAUGCCUAAGCCAAUACCUUUUCACUUGCUGUAAUCAAUAAAGUUGUGGCCUUUUUCUUGCCCAUUAGCCUUAUAUUACUUGUCCUCAUGUCUUCAUUUCACUACGCGGGGAUCGGGCCCUCGAACCACAACUAUUAUUAUUAUUAAGUCACUGCUAAUCUAGACUGUUUGUCCAAAGCCUGUGAAACAAAGACAGGCUUCAGAAAUCCCCAGCACUUAGUGCUUUCACUUGGCCCAGCAGUAUCAGGCAAACUCCAGGUAUUUGCCUGUUUUUCACUUGGCCCAGCAGUAUCAGGCAAACUCCAGGUAUUUGCCUGUUUUAUUUGACUAUUUAUGGAUACAGAAAGUUCCAAAGUAUGAUUGCUUCGUUCUGAGUCCAGAAACGAAAUGUGUCCUAAUUUGGGCUCAUGCAUCUUGCUAUUAGGCUAUUGGGCAUAGUAUAUGUGUUGCAUUACAUUGGGUACCAUAGAGGCUCAUCUCACUGUCCCACCAGGGUGUUUGGCAUGUGAUGUGCUGGUGUGGGGCAGAGCCUUCUCUGUAGAGGAGGCCCUGCUGUGCAGCUCACUCUCUCAGGAUGUAUGGAGGGCUGCAUCUUUAUUAAUGCCUAGUUAAAACAUUCAUGCUCUCCCACGCCUUUGGAGCUACAGUAUUUAUUUUAGUUUUGACUGGUGUCAUGCCUUAAUCUAUCGGAUCUAUUGCUGUUCACCUUUAAUUGCCGUCCCUGUUCAACUUACUACGCCAUGUGAAUAUAUUCCUAUUCAUCUGAGCAUUUUGAUCUUAAUUUAUGUUCAUCUUUAAUAAUAAUAAUAAUAAUAAUAAUAAUAAUAAUAAUAAUAAUUUAUUUAUACCCCACCCAUCAGGAUGCGUUUCCCCAGCCACUCUGGGCGUCUCCCAACAGAAUAUUAAUAUUAUUAUUAAUAAUAAUAAUCAUAAUAAUAAAGCGAUAAAACACCAAACAUUAAAAACUUCCCUAAACAGGGUUAGGACAGACCCAUUCUUUGUUACUGAAGAAUGAGCACUUUUAGUUUUUGAGGCAUUUUAAUUUGUAUUAUGAGUCGCUCUGAAACCAAACAAACUCUAGUAUGUGACCCAAAAAGUUAAUACGGUAAUCAGAAUGAUAAUGCUGUUAGAUACUAUGCUGGCAGAUGUCCUGCGAUUACUCUGUUAUGAAGGGUGUCCUAUAAAUUUUGCUAAUACAGUGGUACCUCAGGUUAAGAACUUAAUUCGUUCUGGAGGUCCAUUCUUAACCUGAAACUGUUCUUAACCUGAGGUACCACUUUAGCUAAUGGGGCCUCCCGCUGCCACUGCGCCGCUGCCGCGCGAUUUCUGUUCUCAUCCUGAAGCAAAGUUCUUAACCCGAGGUACUAUUUCUGGGUUAGCGGAGUCUGUAACUUGAAGCGUCUGUAACCUGAAACAUCUGUAAUCCGUGGUACCACUGUAGACAAAUGCACACAUUAUUCCACUUCUAUUGGGUUCAUAACAGGGUUUCUUUUUUCCUUCUUUACCAGACCCACCACCGAGAAAAACCUGGGAAGCAAUUCUGACUGAAGAACCUGCCAGACCACUCAUACCCCAGGAGCUAUCCUAUCAAACAUAUACCGUACAUAUUAGUCAAAGGGAAAGAACG
Molecule: non-coding RNA, 6343 nt
Organism: Podarcis lilfordi (Lilford's wall lizard)
Lineage: Eukaryota; Metazoa; Chordata; Lepidosauria; Squamata; Lacertidae
Source: the annotation of a GenBank genome assembly